CGCGAAAGCGUGACGCAGCGACGCCGCGUGGGGGAUGAAGGCCCUCGGGUUGUAAACCCCUUUCGCCAGGGACGAAGCGAGAGUGACGGUACCUGGAGAAGAAGUCCCGGCUAACUACGUGCCAGCAGCCGCGGUAACACGUAGGGGACGAGCGUUGUCCGGAUUCAUUGGGCGUAAAGCGCGCGUAGGCGGUCGUGCAAGUCGGUUGUGAAAUCCCGGGGCUCAACCCCGGGACUGCGUCCGAUACUGUGCGACUGGAGGCAGGUAGGGGAGAUCGGAAUUCCUGGUGUAGCGGUGAAAUGCGCAGAUAUCAGGAGGAACACCGGUGGCGAAGGCGGAUCUCUGGGCCUUGCCUGACGCUGAGGCGCGAAAGCUAGGGGAGCGAACAGGAUUAGAUACCCUGGUAGUCCUAGCCGUAAACGUUGGGUGCUAGGUGUGGGCGGACAUCGACCCCGUCCGUGCCGAAGCUAACGCAUUAAGCACCCCGCCUGGGGAGUACGGCCGCAAGGCUA
This 512-nucleotide ribosomal RNA is filed under the name uncultured Actinomycetes bacterium. RNAcentral's name for it is "bacterial SSU rRNA". It matches the Rfam family "Bacterial small subunit ribosomal RNA", at positions 374 to 896 of the family's 1533-position model. Lineage: Bacteria; Bacillati; Actinomycetota; Actinomycetes. The record is from RNAcentral.